GCCAGAUAAGAAGGUAAAUUCCAGUAAAUUCUGAGCAAAGACGUGACCUCUGUAUCUAGAAGUUCUCUGAACCCUGACCUGCAAUAAACCACCCAGCAAGAAAACAGCUCAUUUCUGGAGAAGACUAAGUCAUGGGGAGUCUGAAUUUCAAAUUAAAUAUGGCUGUUACCUAGGAGCAUACAGACAGGGUUUCUCUGUAUGACAGCCCUGGCUAUCAUGGAACUCACUCUGUAGACCAGGCUGGAGUCAGACUGGCAGAGAACUGCCUGCCUUUGCCUCCGGAGUGCUGGGAUUAAAGGCAGGUGUGCCUGCAUGCCUGAGCCCUCAUCCAGUGGCUGCUGGAAGCAGAGAAAGACAUCCACAGAUUCACACUGAACUGAACUCUGGAACCUAGUUGCAAAGAGGGAGGAAUGAAGAUCAAAGGUGUCAGUACCAGGCUAGAGAAACCCACAGAAACAUCUGGCCUGAACAAGGGGGGGCACAUGGACCCCAGACUGCUGUCUGGGAGGCCAAUGUAGGACUGAUCCAGACCCCUGAACAUGGAUGUUAAUUGGGUGGCCUCUAGGGGGGCCCUGAUAGUGGAUUAGUAUUUUUCCCUGGUGUAAGAAGGGACUUUGAGAACCCAUCCCAAGUGAAGGGAUGCUCUCUCGGCCUGGACACAUAGGGGAGGGCCUAGGCCCAUCCCAGGAUGAUGUGGUGGACUUUGAGGAGCCCAGUGAGGGCUCUACCCUGCCUGGGGAGUGUUGGGUUAAUGGGGUAGUGGG
Molecule: long non-coding RNA, 764 nt
Filed under: Cricetulus griseus (Chinese hamster)
Lineage: Eukaryota; Metazoa; Chordata; Mammalia; Rodentia; Cricetidae
Description: lncRNA (ENSCGRG00015031251.1)
Source: RNAcentral